Molecule: ribosomal RNA, 301 nt
Filed under: uncultured bacterium
Lineage: Bacteria
Description: partial 16S ribosomal RNA
Rfam family: Bacterial small subunit ribosomal RNA
Source: RNAcentral
CAGCCGCCGCGGUAAUACGUAGGUGGCAAGCGUUGUCCGGAAUUAUUGGGCGUAAAGGGCUCGCAGGCGGUUUCUUAAGUCUGAUGUGAAAGCCCCCGGCUCAACCGGGGAGGGUCAUUGGAAACUGGGAAACUUGAGUGCAGAAGAGGAGAGUGGAAUUCCACGUGUAGCGGUGAAAUGCGUAGAGAUGUGGAGGAACACCAGUGGCGAAGGCGAUUCUCUGGUCUGUAACUGACACUGAGGCACGAAAGCGUGGGUAGCAAACAGGAUUAGAUACCCGAGUAGUCCCUGUUUCUUAUAC